Molecule: ribosomal RNA, 301 nt
Filed under: uncultured bacterium
Lineage: Bacteria
Description: partial 16S ribosomal RNA
Rfam family: Bacterial small subunit ribosomal RNA
Source: RNAcentral
CAGCAGCCGCGGGAAUACGUAGGUGGCAAGCGUUGUCCGGAAUUAUUGGGCGUAAAGGGCUCGCAGGCGGUUUCUUAAGUCUGAUGUGAAAGCCCCCGGCUCAACCGGGGAGGGUCAUUGGAAACUGGGAAACUUGAGUGCAGAAGAGGAGAGUGGAAUUCCACGUGUAGCGGUGAAAUGCGUAGAGAUGUGGAGGAACACCAGUGUCGAAGGCGACUCUCUGGUCUGUAACUGACGCUGAAGAGCGAAAGCGUGGGGAGCGAACAGGAUUAGAUACCCCUGUAGUCCCUGUCUCUUAUAC